This 317-nucleotide ribosomal RNA is filed under the name uncultured Polynucleobacter sp. RNAcentral's name for it is "bacterial SSU rRNA". It matches the Rfam family "Bacterial small subunit ribosomal RNA", at positions 1 to 327 of the family's 1533-position model. Lineage: Bacteria; Pseudomonadati; Pseudomonadota; Betaproteobacteria; Burkholderiales; Burkholderiaceae. The record is from RNAcentral.
UGACGAGUUUGAUCCUGGCUCAGAUUGAACGCUGGCGGCAUGCCUUACACAUGCAAGUCGAACGGCAGCACGGGUGCUUGCACCUGGUGGCGAGUGGCGAACGGGUGAGUAAUACAUCGGAACGUACCUUAUCGUGGGGAUAACGCAGCGAAAGCUGUGCUAAUACCGCAUACGCCCUGAGGGGAAAGCGGGGAUCGAAAGACCUCGCGCGAUUAGAGCGGCCGAUGCCUGAUUAGCUUGUUGGUGGGGUAAAGCCACCAAGGCGACGAUCAGUAGCUGGUCUGAGAGGACGACCAGCCACACUGGAACUGAGACAC